Chinchilla lanigera (long-tailed chinchilla) is the source of this 643-nucleotide long non-coding RNA. RefSeq lists it as uncharacterized. NCBI's taxonomy places the organism in Eukaryota, Metazoa, Chordata, Mammalia, Rodentia, Chinchillidae. The transcript is spliced from 2 exons. The record is from RefSeq and is a predicted model, not a curated record.
UAGAGCCCUGCGGGGGAGAAACAGAAGGUUGAAGGCAGGAAGACGCGGGCAGGGGAGCCCAGCAGAGCCGCGCUUUAAAUGAACAUCCUCACCCCCGAAAUCACGACAGUUAAACUUGAUGUCAAGGACAGGCAAGUCAGUACAGUCUGGAUCAAUGGUCAACCAUGGUCUCAAGCCAGAGCAGUUAUGUUGUUGCAUGUGCUUCUCUACAUGCCUGCCAGCUGCACCACCAGCGGUCUGGGUGGUCGUACAUACAGCAUAAAAGACUUUGUAGGUCAAAAUCAGAACUCGUGGUUCUGAGCCAACGUGGACAUCAGUAACAUCCGCCCAUCCAUUUUCUUUAAUGAGCGCCAUUGAUCAAUGCAGCACAUAAGCUAGCACUAACAAUGCCAUGUGAAAUAACCAACCAAUCAUAAUGCUGGCACUUUGCUCUCACCAAGGGGAAGGGCGUUCAAGGAGUUUCGUGAAGUAGGUCGGCGAUAUCAGCAUAGCUGAAGUGUUCCAGGGGAAUCUAUGUUUCAGGAGGAUGUGCGACAAUCGGCUAUUUGUGUGACCUCACCUGCAGCGCCGCGGGCCUCGGCCCCAGCGCAGUCCCACCAUCACCCAGAAAGCCCCAUAAAGAAAACCAUGCUCCUUGUCAGAA